UUAAAUGAUAGCCAGUUCUCUUUGCUUCGGCAGAGAUUGAGCAGGCAUUAACCCUUUGUGAACUGUAAUUGUACUUGGGUACACUACUCUUCGGAGGACGGUACCCGACAUUUAUAAACCCCCUAUAUGUUUAACUGAAUGGUGGAUCUAAGAGAAA
This 157-nucleotide unclassified non-coding RNA is filed under the name soil metagenome. RNAcentral describes it as "partial internal transcribed spacer 1". The record is from RNAcentral.